This 271-nucleotide unclassified non-coding RNA is filed under the name Hevea brasiliensis (rubber tree). The record is from RNAcentral. Lineage: Eukaryota; Viridiplantae; Streptophyta; Magnoliopsida; Malpighiales; Euphorbiaceae.
CAAGAACAUGUGCUGCCCAUGAUCCCAAGUGGGGGGGCUUUUAAAGAUGUGAUAACUGAGGGUGAUGGAAGAACGAAGUAUUGAUCUUUACCAGCAGCAAAUAUGUUAAGGAUUAUGUAUGUUAUGUGGAAUUCCAUGCUUAAAACUAAGGAGUGGCAGGUUUUUUUAAGUUUACUAGUUAGUUAUUUAAUAGUAUCGAUGGUUGUUGUUUGGAUGAAACUUGUGUAUCUGCUUUGUUCUUGUCAGUUUUGCUAAUUUGAACAAGUAGUUU